Molecule: ribosomal RNA, 2907 nt
Rfam family: Bacterial large subunit ribosomal RNA
Source: Rfam
AAUCAAGCGCGAGAAGGGCGUUUGGUGGAUGCCUUGGCAGUAAGAGGCGAUGAAAGACGUGAUACUCUGCGAUAAGUCAUGGGGAGCUGAGAAUAAGCUUUGAUCCAUGAAUUUCUGAAUGGGGGAACCCACCUGACAGUUUGUUAUAAAAUGCUCUGCAUUUUAUAACUUGCUGAACCAGGUACUUAAGACCUGAAUACAUAGGGUUUUAAGAGCAAACCCGGGGAACUGAAACAUCUAAGUACCCGGAGGAAAGGAAAUCAAUUGAUACUCCCCUAGUAGCGGCGAGCGAACGGGGACCAGCCAAGCCUGAUAAGUGACUAGAACGUGUUGGGAAGCACGGCCAUAGCGGGUGAUAGCCCCGUAUAGGAAGCUUUGAAGGAUGUAUUAAGUAGGGCGGGACACGUGAAAUCCUGUCUGAAGAUCGGAGGACCACCUUCGAAGGCUAAGUACUCCUUACUGACCGAUAGCGAACCAGUACCGUGAGGGAAAGGUGAAAAGCACCCCGACAAGGGGAGUGAAACAGUACCUGAAACCGAACGCCUACAAUCAGUUGGAGGCCCCUUGAGGGCUGACAGCGUACCUUUUGUAUAAUGGGUCAUCGACUUAGUGUAUCUAGCAAGCUUAAGCCGUUAGGUGUAGGCGCAGCGAAAGCGAGUCUUAAUAGGGCGCUUGAGUUAGAUGCAUUAGACCCGAAACCGAGUGAUCUAGGCAUGACCAGGAUGAAGGUAAGGUAACACUUACUGGAGGUCCGAACCCACACCUGUUGAAAAAGGUCGGGAUGAGUUGUGCCUAGGGGUGAAAGGCCAAUCAAACUCGGAGAUAGCUGGUUCUCUGCGAAAUCUAUUUAGGUAGAGCGUCAUCCGAAUACCCCGGGGGGUAGAGCACUGAAUGGGUAAUGGGGGCCCACAGCCUUACUGAUCCUAAUCAAACUCCGAAUACCCGGGAGUACUAGAUGGCAGACACACUGCGGAUGCUAACGUCCGUAGUGGAGAGGGAAACAACCCUGACCUACGACUAAGGCCCCUAAUUCAUGGCUAAGUGGGAAAGCAGGUGGGACGACCAAAACAACCAGGAGGUUGGCUUAGAAGCAGCCAUCCUUUAAAGAUAGCGUAACAGCUCACUGGUCUAAAUAAGUUGUCCUGCGGCGAAGAUGUAACGGGGCUCAAGCCAUGAGCCGAAGUCUAGGAUAGUGACAUUCCUUCGGGAAUGCACUGUGGUAGCAGAGCGUAGUGUGACAUAGCUUCAUGUCUCUUUAACUCAUUGAUAUCGUAUCAAUUUGUUGCUGGAGGAUUUAGUCCUCAAGUAGCGAAGCGGUAGGACAUCAUAUAAUGAGUGUCGGAGACACGAAGCUUUCGAUGAAGCUGGGGCGUGAGCCAUCCGGUGGAGAGAUCACUAGUGAGAAUGAUGACAUGAGUAGCGACAAAGAGUGUGAGAGACACUCUCGCCGAAAGUCCAAGGGUUCCUGCUUAAAGCUAAUCUGAGCAGGGUAAGCCGACCCCUAAGGCGAGGCCGAAAGGCGUAGUCGAUGGGAACCAGGUUAAUAUUCCUGGGCCAGAUGGAAGUGACGGAUUGCGACGGUUGUUCCUCCUUAUUGGAUUGGAGGGGCCGCUUAGCAGUUCCUGGAAAUAGCUCCAUCGCUAGAUCGUACCCUAAACCGACACAGGUGGACUGGUAGAGAAUACCAAGGCGCUUGAGAGAACGAUGUUGAAGGAACUCGGCAAAAUACCUCCGUAAGUUCGCGAGAAGGAGGCCCAGUUUCUACGCAAGUAUUGGCUGGGGGCACAAACCAGGGGGUGGCGACUGUUUACUAAAAACACAGGGCUCUGCGAAGUCGCAAGACGACGUAUAGGGUCUGACGCCUGCCCGGUGCCUGAAGGUUAAAAGGAGGGGUGAGAGCUCCGAAUUGAAGCCCAGGUAAACGGCGGCCGUAACUAUAACGGUCCUAAGGUAGCGAAAUUCCUUGUCGGGUAAGUUCCGACCUGCACGAAUGGCGUAACGACUUCCCCACUGUCUCCAACAUCGACUCAGCGAAAUUGAAUUGCCUGUCAAGAUGCAGGCUUCCCGCGGUUAGACGGAAAGACCCCGUGCACCUUUACUACAGCUUCACACUGGCAUCAGGCCAUGCAUGUGCAGGAUAGGUGGUGGGCAUUGAAACCGUGACGCCAGUCGCGGUGGAGCCUCCCUUGAGAUACCACCCUUGCAUUGCUUGAUGUCUAACCGCGGUCCGUUAUCCGGAUCCGGGACCCUGUGUGGCGGGUAGUUUGACUGGGGCGGUCGCCUCCUAAAGCGUAACGGAGGCGCGCGAAGGUUGGCUCAGAGCGGUCGGAAAUCGCUCGUUGAGUGCAAUGGCAGAAGCCAGCCUGACUGCAAGACUGACAAGUCGAGCAGAGUCGAAAGACGGCCAUAGUGAUCCGGUGGUCCCGAGUGGAAGGGCCAUCGCUCAACGGAUAAAAGGUACGCCGGGGAUAACAGGCUGAUACUGCCCAAGAGUCCAUAUCGACGGCAGUGUUUGGCACCUCGAUGUCGGCUCAUCUCAUCCUGGGGCUGGAGCAGGUCCCAAGGGUACGGCUGUUCGCCGUUUAAAGAGGUACGUGAGCUGGGUUUAGAACGUCGUGAGACAGUUCGGUCCCUAUCUGCCGUGGGUGUAGGAUACUUGAGAGGAGUUGCCCCUAGUACGAGAGGACCGGGGUGAACGAUCCACUGGUGGACCUGUUGUUGCGCCAGCAGCAGUGCAGGGUAGCUAUGAUCGGACAGGAUAACCGCUGAAGGCAUCUAAGCGGGAAGCCCCCCUCAAAACAAGGUAUCCCUGAGGACCGUGGUAGACCACCACGUCGAUAGGCCGGAGAUGUAAGUGCAGCAAUGCAUUCAGUUGACCGGUACUAAUGGUCCGAUAGGCUUGAUUUG